AGUCCAUUCGACGUAUGUGUUCCUACUAUCUCGUGUGGUUACUUUGGCAAUUGACGAGAACGUGGUGGAAGCCUUGAAUCAAUUAUGGACAAAUGACAUGCCAUCUAAAAGAAGAGGAAGAUAUUGACCAUGUGUUUUUCAACUGUUCUUUUUCGCAACAAAUUUGGAAGGGAAUUUUCGUCUGGCUGAAUGUGGAUUUUAUCCCCUAUGAAGUUUGUUGGCAGCACUUUAUAUCCUUUGGUGCUUUGGUGAAGAAUAAGUCUUAUGCAAAAGCUCGACAUGUAAUUUGGUUGGCAACCACAUGGAGCUUGUGGCGAGCCCGUAAUAAUAUAAUGUUUAGAGGAGAUGUCAUUAACUUGCAAUCCUUAAUGAAUCAAAUUAUUUAUAUCUCCUGGUUUUGGUUUGUUGGUAGAAUAGCUUCUAAGUCUUCUCUUGUAUUUUCAGAUUGGUGUAAAGAUCCAUUAUCUUGCAUUUUUAGCAUCUAAUGGCUUCUUUUAGAAUUGUAAGGGUUGGGUACCCCUUGUACUCCUUAUAAUUCAUUCUUUGCUUAU
Trifolium pratense (red clover) is the source of this 551-nucleotide long non-coding RNA. RefSeq lists it as uncharacterized. The record is from RefSeq and is a predicted model, not a curated record. Lineage: Eukaryota; Viridiplantae; Streptophyta; Magnoliopsida; Fabales; Fabaceae. The transcript is spliced from 2 exons.